This is a long non-coding RNA of Condylura cristata (star-nosed mole), 763 nucleotides long. RefSeq lists it as uncharacterized. The transcript has 5 exons. The record is from RefSeq and is a predicted model, not a curated record. NCBI's taxonomy places the organism in Eukaryota, Metazoa, Chordata, Mammalia, Eulipotyphla, Talpidae.
GAUUUUGGUUUUUACUUUAUUAGAAUUAACUGCCCCCAUCCCUAUUUGGAUCCCUCCAUUCCUGCUGGGAGUGAAGCCAUAUUGAGGUAACAUUGAUUUACAGCCUGCAUAAGAUUCAGGGGAAUAAGUUACUGUUGUGAAAGUAUUUACAUAUUUAGUGUGACUUGAAAGCCAGGUCAUAUUUAUGCGGCUGCAGCUAUGAGCUUACCAGAGAGCCUCUGGCUGUCUGUUGACUCCAAGUGUUUUGUCUGUGCACACUUCCGGGCAUCAGCUCACCCGGAUUCUGACCUCACGGCCCCUGAUUGGUGCCCUCUGCCCAUAUAACAUCGGGGUGUCCAGUGGUGGAGUCAGAUCGCCUCACCCACCGGCUCUGCGCUGUCCCGCCUGCGCUCUGCCCUUCCGCUGACCACCAUGAAGCUCCUGGCUGUCCUGCUGCUCGUGGCAGUGUCCACUGCCCUGGUCUCCGGCCAGAGCACACGAGCUCCAAGUGAUUACAGCUCUGAGAUCACAGAAGAUGCAGAUUUUUCCAACUCUGAGAGCACACGAGCUCCAGGUGAUUACAGCUCUGGUUACUUCAGCAAGGUAUUUUCUGGCACUCCUUAAGGCGCUGCACAGUGAGCGAAACAGAAUCGGCCUUGACCUUCUGCAUUGGAUCAUCGGCUGGGGCCAGAAUGUCACCUGACUUGAUCACCCAGUAGCACCAAAUCUGCCUAACGCCCUGUGCCCAGUAGUUUAUGUGAUCUCAGUGAUUCAAUAAAAAUGA